CCCUAGAGGAGCCUGUUCCAUAAUCGAUAAACCCCGAUCCACCCCACCCUCUCUUGCUCAGCCUAUAUACCGCCAUCUUCAGCAAACCCUGAUAAAGGUUACAAAGUGAGCGCAAACGCCUCCCCGCAAAAACGUUAGGUCAAGGUGUAGCCCAUGAGACGGUAAAAAAUGGGCUACAUUUUCUAUAUCAGAAAACCCACGAAAACUCUUAUGAAACUUGAGAGUCCAAGGAGGAUUUAGCAGUAAAUUAAGAAUAGAGUGCUUAAUUGAACGAGGCCAUAAAGCGCGCACACACCGCCCGUCACUCCCCUCGAAUAUAUUCAAGGAACAUCUUAACUAAACACCCCAAUAUCUAUAUAGAGGGGAUAAGUCGUAACAUGGUAAGUGUACUGGAAGGUGCACUUGGAU
This 408-nucleotide ribosomal RNA is filed under the name Macaca leonina (Northern pig-tailed macaque). RNAcentral describes it as "partial 12S ribosomal RNA". It matches the Rfam family "Bacterial small subunit ribosomal RNA", at positions 925 to 1523 of the family's 1533-position model. The record is from RNAcentral. Lineage: Eukaryota; Metazoa; Chordata; Mammalia; Primates; Cercopithecidae.